UGAAAGAUGCAGGAUUGACAUUUUUAAAUCUCCCUUUUAUCCACAGAGAAGAUGAAGCAUAGUCAGGAAACAUGCAGCUUUCCUCAGAUUUUCAGACCAACAUGCAUUCAUUUGACCUAGAGGGACACCUCUAUGGGAAAGAAAAGCAGUUUAAGUCACCAUUGUCAUUUUAUCCUUGUCCUUG
Lonchura striata (white-rumped munia) is the source of this 184-nucleotide unclassified non-coding RNA. The record is from Ensembl. Lineage: Eukaryota; Metazoa; Chordata; Aves; Passeriformes; Estrildidae.